AGCUAACGCCUGGCCUUUAUUACUGAAUGGAACUUCUGCCCUGAGAGCCUGUUGCGUUUCACCUUAAACUUGGAUAUACACCAAGUAGUAGAUGGAAAAGUUUUCUCUCUCCCUGAGCCCAGAGCCCAGAGCCCGGGACUAAGCCAACACUGCCAGGCUUGGCCCUCUGCUUCCACAUCCUACCCUGGUUCUUCUGCGCCCCCACCCCACCACUACCCCAACCUCAGAAUCAAAGCUCCUCCUAAAUAGGAUGCAACUUCUAGCCAAAAUAAAUACUUGGUGAAAGAAAAAAAAAUCUCAAGAGAUCACAGACCAGUAAUGAAAAGAAGAGAAUGGGAAUCCUCUUCUUUUCCUACGUCUGCCACUUUCCCAGUCUGGAGACCUAUGCACUGAAGUUGGGCGUCAUUCCUCUGGUUGAGAGUGGACAUCCUGCCAUCUCCUUCAGACUUUGCCUGUUUCAGGGGGUGUUCCUUUGCAAUGAUGCCUGGGCAUCAGAGGAGAGGGUGUGAGCCCCACAGAAUACAGGGGUUCAAGUCAUGAGAGAACAAUACCAUCGCAAAUCACAAGAUAAUAGUGAAAAAAAAAACAUCGAUUGAAUUUUAUCGUCAGAGGAAGAGAGCCAUGAUCCAUGUGACUUUGGCGGUAUUCAGUGUUAGUACGGACAUUGGGUGUUUUCUGUAUCGGCUAGCCUUGGUGCAGAAGACUGGUGAUUCCUCACGUGGCAUUCUCCCCAGGGCACAGAGCUUUCCUGCUCCUUGCCCCAUAUCUUGGAAAGUGGAAAGACUGCAAGCUGAUCCAAGAGUCACUGAGCAACUGUCCAAAUGUUCUGAAGGAUGGCUACCCCACUGGCAAUGUUUUUUUAAAGUAAGCUCUACAUUGGGGGUGCCUGGGUGACUCACUGUUUGUGGGUUUGAGCCCCAUGUUGGGCCCUGUGCUGACAGCUCUGAGCCUGGAGUCUGCUUCAGAUUCUGUGUCUCCCUCUCUCUUGGCCUCUCCCUUGCUCAAACUCUGUCUCUCACUCUCUCUCUCAAAAAUAAAUACACAUAAAAAAAGAUUUAAAACA
This 1063-nucleotide long non-coding RNA is filed under the name Felis catus (domestic cat). Its description in RNAcentral is "lncRNA (ENSFCAG00000047246.1)". The record is from RNAcentral. Lineage: Eukaryota; Metazoa; Chordata; Mammalia; Carnivora; Felidae.